ACUCCUACGGGAGGCAGCAGUGGGGAAUAUUGCACAAUGGGCGCAAGCCUGAUGCAGCCAUGCCGCGUGUAUGAAGAAGGCCUUCGGGUUGUAAAGUACUUUCAGCAGUGAGGAAGGCAGGUACGUUAAUAGCGUGCUUGUUUGUACGUUAGCUGCAGAAGAAGCACCGGCUAACUCCCGUGCCAGCAGCCGCGGUAAUACGGAGGGUGCGAGCGUUAAUCGGAAUUACUGGGCGUAAAGCGCAUGCAGGUGGUUUGUUAAGUCAGAUGUGAAAGCCCGGGGCUCAACCUCGGAAUUGCAUUUGAAACUGGACAGACUAGAGUACUGUAGAGGGGGGUAGAAUUUCAGGUGUAGCGGUGAAAUGCGUAGAGAUCUGAAGGAUAACCGGUGGCGAAGGCGGACCCCCUGGGACAGAUACUGACACUCAGAUGCGAAAGCGU
Molecule: ribosomal RNA, 440 nt
Filed under: uncultured bacterium
Lineage: Bacteria
Description: bacterial SSU rRNA
Rfam family: Bacterial small subunit ribosomal RNA
Source: RNAcentral